Molecule: ribosomal RNA, 473 nt
Filed under: uncultured bacterium
Lineage: Bacteria
Description: SSU rRNA
Rfam family: Bacterial small subunit ribosomal RNA
Source: RNAcentral
AGGACGAACGCUGGCGGCGUGCUUAACACAUGCAAGUCGAGCGGAAAGGCCCUUCGGGGUACUCGAGCGGCGAACGGGUGAGUAACACGUGAGUAAUCUGCCCCUAGCUCUGGGAUAGCUCCGGGAAACCGGGAUUAAUACCGGAUAUGACCACUUUAGACAUCUGUUGUGGUGGAAAGAAUUUCGGCUAGGGAUGAGCUCGCGGCCUAUCAGCUUGUUGGUGGGGUAACGCCUACCAAGGCGACGACGGGUAGCCGGCCUGAGAGGGCGACCGGCCACACUGGGACUGAGACACGGCCCAGACUCCUACGGGAGGCAGCAGUGGGGAAUAUUGCGCAAUGGGCGAAAGCCUGACGCAGCGACGCCGCGUGGGGGAUGAAGGCCGUUCGGGUUGUAACCCCUUUCAGCAGGGACGAAGCGAAAGUGACGGUACCUGCAGAAGAAGCGCCGGCUAACUACGUGCCAGCAGCCGC